AUGGACAAGAAAGGAGAAGUGUGGCAGUGGACAGUCAAGAACAGGUGGAUGGCUCUGCUACUGGAACAGGAGCAAAUGAUGCACCUGUGGCUGUUGCAGCCCCUGCAGAACAGGCAUCAGCGGAGGAUACUGAACGUUCAGCUGCAGAGCCGGGAGUGGUUAUUAAGUGUCCAAUUUGCAUGGGCUUUUACUCAGAGAUUGUGCAGAGUGGACGAGAGCUCGUGUCAACUCUAUGUGGCCACUUGUUCUGCAGUGUGUGCCUCCCUAGAGCCUUGGAGACUGCUCAGAUGUGCCCAAUCUGCAGAGCAGAACUCGGUCCAGAACUAUACCAUCCAAUUUAUUUUUGAGUGCCUCUGCUUCUCAGGACAGACUCAGGAGGAUCUUGGAGACUAGGCGGUGUACAGUCUUGUUUCUUUACAUAUAUAGUUUUUCCUGUACAUAGUUUCAUGUUUUC
RNAcentral lists this long non-coding RNA (454 nucleotides) under Parus major (Great Tit). RNAcentral's name for it is "lncRNA (ENSPMJG00000009600.1)". The record is from RNAcentral. Lineage: Eukaryota; Metazoa; Chordata; Aves; Passeriformes; Paridae.